GGGGUAUUAACACAGCGGUUAGUGUAGCGGCCUCUUAAGUCGAAGGUUCGAAUCCUUCAUGCCCCACCA
Molecule: transfer RNA, 69 nt
Filed under: Klebsiella phage DP
Lineage: Duplodnaviria; Heunggongvirae; Uroviricota; Caudoviricetes
Description: tRNA-OTHER
Rfam family: tRNA
About the family: Transfer RNA (tRNA) molecules are approximately 80 nucleotides in length. Their secondary structure includes four short double-helical elements and three loops (D, anti-codon, and T loops). Further hydrogen bonds mediate the characteristic L-shaped molecular structure. tRNAs have two regions of fundamental functional importance: the anti-codon, which is responsible for specific mRNA codon recognition, and the 3' end, to which the tRNAs corresponding amino acid is attached (by aminoacyl-tRNA synthetases). tRNAs cope with the degeneracy of the genetic code in two manners: having more than one tRNA (with a specific anti-codon) for a particular amino acid; and 'wobble' base-pairing, i.e. permitting non-standard base-pairing at the 3rd anti-codon position.
Source: RNAcentral